RNAcentral lists this ribosomal RNA (1214 nucleotides) under Salinivibrio sharmensis. Its description in RNAcentral is "bacterial SSU rRNA". It matches the Rfam family "Bacterial small subunit ribosomal RNA", at positions 154 to 1361 of the family's 1533-position model. Lineage: Bacteria; Pseudomonadati; Pseudomonadota; Gammaproteobacteria; Vibrionales; Vibrionaceae. The record is from RNAcentral.
AAACGACGGCUAAUACCGCAUAAUGUCUACGGACCAAAGGUGGCCUCUACAUGUAAGCUAUCGCGUUGGGAUGGGCCCAGUUAGGAUUAGCUAGUUGGUAAGGUAAUGGCUUACCAAGGGGACGAUCCUUAGGUUGUUUGAGAGGAUGAUCAGCCACACUGGGACUGAGACCCGGCCCAGAUUCCUACGGGAGGCAGCAGUGGGGAAUAUUGCACAAUGGGGGAGACCCUGAUGCAGCCAUGCCGCGUGUGUGAAGAAGGCCUUCGGGUUGUAAAGCACUUUCAGCAGUGAGGAAGGUUGUGUACUUAAUACGUGCAUUGCUUGACGUUAGCUGCAGAAGAAGCACCGGCUAACUCCGUGCCAGCAGCCGCGGUAAUACGGAGGGUGCGAGCGUUAAUCGGAAUUACUGGGCGUAAAGCGCAUGCAGGCGGUUUGUUAAGUCAGAUGUGAAAGCCCGGGGCUCAACCUCGGAACCGCAUUUGAAACUGGCAGGCUAGAGUCUUGUAGAGGGGGGUAGAAUUUCAGGUGUAGCGGUGAAAUGCGUAGAGAUCUGAAGGAAUACCAGUGGCGAAGGCGGCCCCCUGGACAAAGACUGACGCUCAGAUGCGAAAGCGUGGGUAGCAAACAGGAUUAGAUACCCUGGUAGUCCACGCCGUAAACGCUGUCUACUUGGAGGUUGAGGUUUAAGACUUUGGCUUUCGGCGCUAACGCAUUAAGUAGACCGCCUGGGGAGUACGGCCGCAAGGUUAAAACUCAAAUGAAUUGACGGGGGCCCGCACAAGCGGUGGAGCAUGUGGUUUAAUUCGAUGCAACGCGAAGAACCUUACCUACUCUUGACAUCCAGAGAACUUUCCAGAGAUGGAUUGGUGCCUUCGGGAACUCUGAGACAGGUGCUGCAUGGCUGUCGUCAGCUCGUGUUGUGAAAUGUUGGGUUAAGUCCCGCAACGAGCGCAACCCUUAUCCUUGUUUGCCAGCACGUAAUGGUGGGAACUCCAGGGAGACUGCCGGUGAUAAACCGGAGGAAGGUGGGGACGACGUCAAGUCAUCAUGGCCCUUACGAGUAGGGCUACACACGUGCUACAAUGGCAGAUACAGAGGGCAGCGAAGCUGCGAAGUGGAGCGAAUCCCUUAAAGUCUGUCGUAGUCCGGAUUGGAGUCUGCAACUCGACUCCAUGAAGUCGGAAUCGCUAGUAAUCGUGGAUCAGAAUGCCACG